CCUUUUUUAUUGAAGCCCUUUGCUGAAAUUGAAGAAACUAGAAUCAUGUCUUAGUAUUUGUAAUAUGGCUGGCAAAGUAAACACAAGAAGGAAAAACAAGGCCAGGCGUGGUGGCACACAC
RNAcentral lists this small nucleolar RNA (121 nucleotides) under Chinchilla lanigera (long-tailed chinchilla). RNAcentral's name for it is "Small nucleolar RNA SNORA81 (ENSCLAG00000018906.1)". It matches the Rfam family "Small nucleolar RNA SNORA81". The record is from Rfam by way of RNAcentral. Lineage: Eukaryota; Metazoa; Chordata; Mammalia; Rodentia; Chinchillidae.